CCCAGACAGCCAGGAUGUUGGCUUAGAAGCAGCCAUCAUUUAAAGAAAGCGUAAUAGCUCACUGGUCGAGUCGGCCUGCGCGGAAGAUGUAACGGGGCUAAACCAUGCACCGAAGCUGCGGCAGCGACACUGAUGUGUUGUUGGGUAGGGGAGCGUUCUGUAAGCCUGUGAAGGUGGCCUGUGAGGGUUGCUGGAGGUAUCAGAAGUGCGAAUGCUGACAUAAGUAACGAUAAAGCGGGUGAAAAGCCCGCUCGCCGGAAGACCAAGGGUUCCUGUCCAACGUUAAUCGGGGCAGGGUGAGUCGACCCCUAAGGC
This 315-nucleotide ribosomal RNA is filed under the name Salmonella enterica subsp. enterica serovar Lubbock. RNAcentral's name for it is "partial 23S ribosomal RNA". It matches the Rfam family "Bacterial large subunit ribosomal RNA", at positions 1084 to 1397 of the family's 2925-position model. The record is from RNAcentral. Lineage: Bacteria; Pseudomonadati; Pseudomonadota; Gammaproteobacteria; Enterobacterales; Enterobacteriaceae.